GGGCGAUUAGCUCAGUUGGGAGAGCGCCUGCCUUACAAGCAGGAUGUCGGCGGUUCGAGCCCGUCAUCGCCCACCA
This 76-nucleotide transfer RNA is filed under the name Syntrophomonadaceae bacterium. RNAcentral's name for it is "tRNA-Val". It matches the Rfam family "tRNA". From Rfam's summary of the family: Transfer RNA (tRNA) molecules are approximately 80 nucleotides in length. Their secondary structure includes four short double-helical elements and three loops (D, anti-codon, and T loops). The record is from RNAcentral. Lineage: Bacteria; Bacillati; Bacillota; Clostridia; Eubacteriales; Syntrophomonadaceae.